This 492-nucleotide ribosomal RNA is filed under the name Bacillus cereus. Its description in RNAcentral is "bacterial SSU rRNA". It matches the Rfam family "Bacterial small subunit ribosomal RNA", at positions 304 to 787 of the family's 1533-position model. The record is from RNAcentral. Lineage: Bacteria; Bacillati; Bacillota; Bacilli; Caryophanales; Bacillaceae.
UCGGCCACACUGGGACUGAAACACGGCCCAGACUCCUACGGGAGGCAGCAGUAGGGAACUUUCCGCAAUGGACGAAAGUCUGACGGAACAACGCCGCGUGAGUGAUGAAGGCUUUCGGGUCGUAAAACUCUGUUGUUAGGGAAAAACAAGUGCUAGUUGAAUAAGCUGGCACCUUGACGGUACCUAACCAGAAAGCCACGGCUAACUACGUGCCAGCAGCCGCGGUAAUACGUAGGUGGCAAGCGUUAUCCGGAAUUAUUGGGCGUAAAGCGCGCGCAGGUGGUUUCUUAAGUCUGAUGUGAAAGCCCACGGCUCAACCGUGGAGGGUCAUUGGAAACUGGGAGACUUGAGUGCAGAAGAAGAAAGUGGAUUUCCAUGUGUAGCGGUGAAAUGCGUAGAGAUAUGGAGGAACACCAGUGGCGAAGGCGACUUUCUGGUCUGUAACUGACACUGAGGCGCGAAAGCGUGGGGAGCAAACAGGAUUAGAUACCC